RNAcentral lists this ribosomal RNA (2810 nucleotides) under Shigella sonnei. Its description in RNAcentral is "bacterial LSU rRNA". It matches the Rfam family "Bacterial large subunit ribosomal RNA". The record is from RNAcentral. Lineage: Bacteria; Pseudomonadati; Pseudomonadota; Gammaproteobacteria; Enterobacterales; Enterobacteriaceae.
GGGUUGUGAGGUUAAGCGACUAAGCGUACACGGUGGAUGCCCUGGCAGUCAGAGGCGAUGAAGGACGUGCUAAUCUGCGAUAAGCGUCGGUAAGGUGAUAUGAACCGUUAUAACCGGCGAUUUCCGAAUGGGGAAACCCAGUGUGAUUCGUCACACUAUCAUUAACUGAAUCCAUAGGUUAAUGAGGCGAACCGGGGGAACUGAAACAUCUAAGUACCCCGAGGAAAAGAAAUCAACCGAGAUUCCCCCAGUAGCGGCGAGCGNNNNNNNNNNNNNNNNNNNNNNNNNNNNNNNNNNNNNNNNNNNCCAUCCUCCAAGGCUAAAUACUCCUGACUGACCGAUAGUGAACCAGUACCGUGAGGGAAAGGCGAAAAGAACCCCGGCGAGGGGAGUGAAAAAGAACCUGAAACCGUGUACGUACAAGCAGUGGGAGCACGCUUAGGCGUGUGACUGCGUACCUUUUGUAUAAUGGGUCAGCGACUUAUAUUCUGUAGCAAGGUUAACCGAAUAGGGGAGCCGAAGGGAAACCGAGUCUUAACUGGGCGUUAAGUUGCAGGGUAUAGACCCGAAACCCGGUGAUCUAGCCAUGGGCAGGUUGAAGGUUGGGUAACACUAACUGGAGGACCGAACCGACUAAUGUUGAAAAAUUAGCGGAUGACUUGUGGCUGGGGGUGAAAGGCCAAUCAAACCGGGAGAUAGCUGGUUCUCCCCGAAAGCUAUUUAGGUAGCGCCUCGUGAAUUCAUCUCCGGGGGUAGAGCACUGUUUCGGCAAGGGGGUCAUCCCGACUUACCAACCCGAUGCAAACUGCGAAUACCGGAGAAUGUUAUCACGGGAGACACACGGCGGGUGCUAACGUCCGUCGUGAAGAGGGAAACAACCCAGACCGCCAGCUAAGGUCCCAAAGUCAUGGUUAAGUGGGAAACGAUGUGGGAAGGCCCAGACAGCCAGGAUGUUGGCUUAGAAGCAGCCAUCAUUUAAAGAAAGCGUAAUAGCUCACUGGUCGAGUCGGCCUGCGCGGAAGAUGUAACGGGGCUAAACCAUGCACCGAAGCUGCGGCAGCGACGCUUAUGCGUUGUUGGGUAGGGGAGCGUUCUGUAAGCCUGCGAAGGUGUGCUGUGAGGCAUGCUGGAGGUAUCAGAAGUGCGAAUGCUGACAUAAGUAACGAUAAAGCGGGUGAAAAGCCCGCUCGCCGGAAGACCAAGGGUUCCUGUCCAACGUUAAUCGGGGCAGGGUGAGUCGACCCCUAAGGCGAGGCCGAAAGGCGUAGUCGAUGGGAAACAGGUUAAUAUUCCUGUACUUGGUGUUACUGCGAAGGGGGGACGGAGAAGGCUAUGUUGGCCGGGCGACGGUUGUCCCGGUUUAAGCGUGUAGGCUGGUUUUCCAGGCAAAUCCGGAAAAUCAAGGCUGAGGCGUGAUGACGAGGCACUACGGUGCUGAAGCAACAAAUGCCCUGCUUCCAGGAAAAGCCUCUAAGCAUCAGGUAACAUCAAAUCGUACCCCAAACCGACACAGGUGGUCAGGUAGAGAAUACCAAGGCGCUUGAGAGAACUCGGGUGAAGGAACUAGGCAAAAUGGUGCCGUAACUUCGGGAGAAGGCACGCUGAUAUGUAGGUGAAGUCCCUUGCGGAUGGAGCUGAAAUCAGUCGAAGAUACCAGCUGGCUGCAACUGUUUAUUAAAAACACAGCACUGUGCAAACACGAAAGUGGACGUAUACGGUGUGACGCCUGCCCGGUGCCGGAAGGUUAAUUGAUGGGGUCAGCGCAAGCGAAGCUCUUGAUCGAAGCCCCGGUAAACGGCGGCCGUAACUAUAACGGUCCUAAGGUAGCGAAAUUCCUUGUCGGGUAAGUUCCGACCUGCACGAAUGGCGUAAUGAUGGCCAGGCUGUCUCCACCCGAGACUCAGUGAAAUUGAACUCGCUGUGAAGAUGCAGUGUACCCGCGGCAAGACGGAAAGACCCCGUGAACCUUUACUAUAGCUUGACACUGAACAUUGAGCCUUGAUGUGUAGGAUAGGUGGGAGGCUUUGAAGUGUGGACGCCAGUCUGCAUGGAGCCGGCCUUGAAAUACCACCCUUUAAUGUUUGAUGUUCUAACGUGGACCCGUGAUCCGGGUUGCGGACAGUGUCUGGUGGGUAGUUUGACUGGGGCGGUCUCCUCCUAAAGAGUAACGGAGGAGCACGAAGGUUGGCUAAUCCUGGUCGGACAUCAGGAGGUUAGUGCAAUGGCAUAAGCCAGCUUGACUGCGAGCGUGACGGCGCGAGCAGGUGCGAAAGCAGGUCAUAGUGAUCCGGUGGUUCUGAAUGGAAGGGCCAUCGCUCAACGGAUAAAAGGUACUCCGGGGAUAACAGGCUGAUACCGCCCAAGAGUUCAUAUCGACGGCGGUGUUUGGCACCUCGAUGUCGGCUCAUCACAUCCUGGGGCUGAAGUAGGUCCCAAGGGUAUGGCUGUUCGCCAUUUAAAGUGGUACGCGAGCUGGGUUUAGAACGUCGUGAGACAGUUCGGUCCCUAUCUGCCGUGGGCGCUGGAGAACUGAGGGGGGCUGCUCCUAGUACGAGAGGACCGGAGUGGACGCAUCACUGGUGUUCGGGUUGUCAUGCCAAUGGCACUGCCCGGUAGCUAAAUGCGGAAGAGAUAAGUGCUGAAAGCAUCUAAGCACGAAACUUGCCCCGAGAUGAGUUCUCCCUGACCCUUUAAGGGUCCUGAAGGAACGUUGAAGACGACGACGUUGAUAGGCCGGGUGUGUAAGCGCAGCGAUGCGUUGAGCUAACCGGUACUAAUGAACCGUGAGGCUUAACCUUACAACGCCGAAG